Molecule: ribosomal RNA, 444 nt
Filed under: uncultured prokaryote
Description: bacterial SSU rRNA
Rfam family: Bacterial small subunit ribosomal RNA
Source: RNAcentral
UAAGGAAUAUUGGACAAUGGGCGGAAGCCUGAUCCAGCCAUCCCGCGUGUAGGAAGACUGCCCUAUGGGUUGUAAACUACUUUUACUAGGGAAGAAGAGCAUCUAUUCAUAGGUGUGUGACGGUACCUAGAGAAUAAGCACCGGCUAACUCCGUGCCAGCAGCCGCGGUAAUACGGAGGGUGCGAGCGUUAUCCGGAAUUACUGGGUUUAAAGGGUGCGUAGGUUGCACGAUAAGUCAGAGGUGAAAGGCACGAGCUUAACUGGUGAAUUGCCUUUGAAACUGUUGUGCUUGAAUUAAGUUGAGGUUAGCGGAAUGUGACAUGUAGCGGUGAAAUGCAUAGAUAUGUCAUAGAACACCAAUUGCGUAGGCAGCUAGCUAGGCUUAUAUUGACGCUGAGGCACGAAAGCGUGGGGAGCGAACAGGAUUAGAUACCCCUGUAGUCC